GACGAACGCUGGCGGCGUGCUUAACACAUGCAAGUCGAACGGAAAGGCCCCUUUUGGGGUACUCGAGUGGCGAACGGGUGAGUAACACGUGAGUAACCUGCCCUUGACUUCGGGAUAACUUCAGGAAACUGGGGCUAAUACCGGCUAGGAAUCCUUGCUGCCUGGUGGGGGUUGGAAAGCUUCGGCGGUUUUGGAUGGACUCGCGGCUUAUCAGCUUGGUGGUGGGGUAGUGGGUUACCUAGGGUUUGACGGGGAGCCGGCCUGAGAGGGCGACCGGCCACAAUGGGGCUUGGAUACGGCCCAGACUCCUACGGGGGGCAGCAGGGGGGAAUUAUGCACAAUGGGCGGAAGCCUGAUGCAGCAACGCCGCGGGCGGGAGUACGGCCUUCGGGUUGGAAACCGCUUUCAGCAGGGGCGAAGCUGGUGGUGACGGUACCUGCAGAAGAAGCACCGGCUAACUACGUG
This 465-nucleotide ribosomal RNA is filed under the name uncultured bacterium. Its description in RNAcentral is "partial 16S ribosomal RNA". It matches the Rfam family "Bacterial small subunit ribosomal RNA", at positions 28 to 507 of the family's 1533-position model. The record is from RNAcentral.